GACGAACGGGCAGGGAGAAAACUUGGUGGAGCAGCUUCUGCUGUGAGCUGGCUUCGAUCGGUUGCUGCUUGACGAGUGGACAACUUGCGGUCAACGAUGGAGCGGUAUUUAACGAGCCUUCGAUGGCCAGAGUUGCUGCAGGGAAAGACUUCAAUCGUGGGCUGAGUGGUGUCGGGGGAAGAGAGAGGGAGCUCGGUGGAUGACAAAGGAGAUGCAACGGCUGCUCGGUGGGGGAAGACACACGUGAGUGGAGAUGCAGACGUUGAAUACUUGGGUCAACAAAACUGCAGAGGAGAAUUCAGAGGGGGUGUGGGCGUGUGUGAGUGGGAGAGUUUUCGGUGGAGGGGAUGAGCGGCUUCGGUGGCGUCGAAUCCAAG
This 377-nucleotide long non-coding RNA is filed under the name Eucalyptus grandis. RNAcentral describes it as "long non-coding RNA (EGRA_LNC006456)". The record is from RNAcentral. Lineage: Eukaryota; Viridiplantae; Streptophyta; Magnoliopsida; Myrtales; Myrtaceae.